UCAAAAGAGAUCUACUGAGAAAAAUAUAGAUAAUAUAACCGAACUUUUAUACAAGGAAUUUCCCAAGGGCUGGUAGUUUAAAUACCGAGCUUCUGAGAUUUAGAGUUUAUAACGCUGAUAUGAAAGAAAUAUAUCAUAUGUUUGAAAUAUACAUGAGCAGAUUUAAAAUGCUAAAGCUACCAAGAACAAGAGGCAGCUAUGACAGCAACGCAGGUACAUCAUCAAUUCCAGCUCCCGCCAUACACAACAACAUCAGCAUCAAAAAUCUACAUGCAAGGAGUAAAAGUGUAAUAUGAGUACAACCGACCCCAUGUACUCAAUAAGUAACAAACCUAACCUUAGGUUGAAAGCAGUGACAAGCUUGGACAAAGGUCAGAGUCCAACACCAAUAGUCAAGAGACAUUCGUAACAAUAUAAGAAGAGCAGUAUAAGUAACGACUCAAAAAUAUGAUGCUCAACUCGUUCACAGUUACGGAAAAUAGUCAUGCUUUUCAGGUAUAAUAGUAAAACCCAAAUCUUUCACCGAAAUCACCAAAGUAUGAGUAAGUCAGAAAAACUAUGAUUUUUCCCAAAAUCUUUCAACAAUAAAUAAGAUGUUUCAGUAUCAGAUAGCAUGAAGAAAGUACUUCUCUAUGCCUACGUGUCAAUGUGCACGUGAAGUCAUGAAUGUCACAAAACAGUGUAGCAUGAGGAAAUGCAUCUCUAUGCAUGUAUGACAAGUAUGCAUGUCAAAUGCAAUGCAUCACAUCCAGCCCAGAGUACUCAAUCUCACUGUCUCACACUCCUACUCAUCACGCUCAAUACUCAGCACACUCAGUCACUCAGCAUUGUACAAUACCCGCUGCGGCGUGCAACCCGAUCCCGUCAUGAAUCAAUAGUAAUUGCGUUUACUAUGGGUGUGCAGACUCCGGAGGGGCGAAUCCAGCCCAUGCGCUAAUAAAUCUUACUACGGCGCGCAGCCCGAUCCCAUUAUGAGUCAAUAAUACUUGCUGCGACGUGCAGCCGGAUCCCAUCAUAAGUCAAUAGUACAUGAUGCGGCGUGCAAUUCUAUCCCAUCAUGAGUCAAUAGUGCCUACUGCGGCGUGCAGCCCGAUCCCAUCAAUGUCACUCAUAAACAGGCCAUCGGCCUCACUCAGUCAUUAAUCUCUCAAGUCUCUCGGGCUCACAAUGUCAUGAAAAUCAGUCCAAAAAUGAUGAUAUGAUGUAUUAAUAAAUGGCAAUAGAGACUGAGAUAUGAUAUGCAAAUAAAUGAGUAUGACUGCAUAUGUAACUGCAAUUUAAGCAAGUAACUCAACAACAGAUAUGACCUCAAUGGGUCCCAACGGAAUAAGCAUAUAGCCUAAACAUUGUUUCUAACAUGGAUCUCAGCUCAAUUACUCUAGCAAGUAAAUUUUUCAUGGAUAAAGACAAGAUUAGGUAACUACACAGUACCACAGGAUCAACCGAAUCAUAAUUCACACGAUGCACGCCCACAAACCCAUCACCUAGUAUGUGAGUCACCUCAACUCCAAACACAUAACACGUAUAUUUAGGGGUUCAAACACUUAACACCAAGUUUAGAAGUGUUACUUACCUCGAACAAGCAAGAUCCAAUAUCGAGCAAGCCACACAGUACUCUAGAAAUGCCACCUCGCACGCAUAAACCUCCGAACGACUCAAUACUAGCCAAAAGCAAUACAAGAACAUCAAAUAAUUCCAAAGGAAACAAACCCAAUUGAUAAAGGUCAAAUCUUUAAUCAAAAUUCCAAAGUUAACAAAAAAAGUCAAAACUGAGCCCGCACCUCAAAACCUGACAAAACUCACAAAAUCUGACAACCCAUUCAAUUACGAGUCCAACCAUACUAGUUUCACUCAAAUCCGACUCUGAAUCGAUGAUCAAAAUUCGAAAAUUCACUCUAUGAAACUUUAGACAAAACCCCCAAUUUCUCUUUUGAAAUCAUCAACCAAAUGUAACGACCCGAUCAGUCAUUUUGAGCUCUAGAGCAUUUUUUUGGUAAUUUGAGGCCUUGAGUAGCUUCCCUUCAUAUUUUAUGACUUGUACGUGUGGUUGGAAUUGAAUUUCGGGAAGUUCAGAGUUGUUUCGAAAAGAAGAUUCUCAAUUCGGAAGCUUUAAGUUGGAAGAGUUAACUAAGAUUUGACUUUUGAGUAAACGACCUCGGAAUUGAGAUUUGAAGGUUCCAAUAGGUUCAUAUGAUGAUUUCUUGCUUGGGCAUAUGUUCGUAUUGAGUAUCGGGUGGCCCGGGAGAAUUUCGACGCCUAUUAUGGAACGUUUGCAUUUCUGAAAGUUUAAGAAUUUCUUAAGUUUGAAUUAAAA
Molecule: long non-coding RNA, 2314 nt
Filed under: Nicotiana tabacum (common tobacco)
Lineage: Eukaryota; Viridiplantae; Streptophyta; Magnoliopsida; Solanales; Solanaceae
Description: long non-coding RNA (NTAB_LNC017547)
Source: RNAcentral